This 497-nucleotide ribosomal RNA is filed under the name uncultured bacterium. RNAcentral's name for it is "partial 16S ribosomal RNA". It matches the Rfam family "Bacterial small subunit ribosomal RNA", at positions 28 to 507 of the family's 1533-position model. The record is from RNAcentral.
GAUGAACGCUGGCGGCGUGCCUAAUACAUGCAAGUCGAGCGAACAGACAAGGAGCUUGCUCCUCUGACGUUAGCGGCGGACGGGUGAGUAACACGUGGAUAACCUACCUAUAAGACUGGGAUAACUUCGGGAAACCGGAGCUAAUACCGGAUAAUAUAUUGAACCGCAUGGUUCAAUAGUGAAAGACGGUUUUGCUGUCACUUAUAGAUGGAUCCGCGCCGCAUUAGCUAGUUGGUAAGGUAACGGCUUACCAAGGCGACGAUGCGUAGCCGACCUGAGAGGGUGAUCGGCCACACUGGAACUGAGACACGGUCCAGACUCCUACGGGAGGCAGCAGUAGGGAAUCUUCCGCAAUGGGCGAAAGCCUGACGGAGCAACGCCGCGUGAGUGAUGAAGGUCUUCGGAUCGUAAAACUCUGUUAUUAGGGAAGAACAAAUGUGUAAGUAACUAUGCACGUCUUGACGGUACCCAAUCAGAAAGCCACGGCUAACUACGUG